CAGAGGUGGCAAGCGUUGUUCGGAAUUACUGGGCGUAAAGGGCGCGUAGGCGGCCAUCUAAGUCAGACGUGAAAUCCCCCGGCUUAACCUGGGAACUGCGUCUGAUACUGGAGGGCUCGAGUUUGGGAGAGGGAUGUGGAAUUCCAGGUGUAGCGGUGAAAUGCGUAGAUAUCUGGAGGAACACCGGUGGCGAAGGCGGCAUCCUGGACCGACACUGACGCUGAGGCGCGAAAGCUAGGGGAGCAAACGGGAUUAGAUACCCCGGUAGUCCUAGCCCUAAACGAUGAAUGCUUGGUGUGGCGGGUAUCGAUCCCUGCCGUGCCGAAGCUAACGCAUUAAGCAUUCCGCCUGGGGAGUACGGUCGCAAGGCUG
This 372-nucleotide ribosomal RNA is filed under the name uncultured organism. Its description in RNAcentral is "bacterial SSU rRNA". It matches the Rfam family "Bacterial small subunit ribosomal RNA", at positions 526 to 896 of the family's 1533-position model. The record is from RNAcentral.